This is a long non-coding RNA of Lagopus muta (rock ptarmigan), 157 nucleotides long. RefSeq lists it as uncharacterized. Lineage: Eukaryota; Metazoa; Chordata; Aves; Galliformes; Phasianidae. The transcript has 2 exons. The record is from RefSeq and is a predicted model, not a curated record.
GCAUUAAGGGGACCUUAAUGGCUAGAAGGCAAAUUCGUGUUACAGUAUUCCUGCAGUCUCGGCUUUAUUGCUCUGGACAUCUGGUACAGAUGAUGAACAACAUGAAUGCCUUAAGCUGUUUUGUAUCCCCAUUAAAAGCACCAUGGAUGACUGACAG